RNAcentral lists this unclassified non-coding RNA (253 nucleotides) under uncultured Alphaproteobacteria bacterium. Its description in RNAcentral is "contains 16S-23S intergenic spacer region". It matches the Rfam family "Bacterial small subunit ribosomal RNA", at positions 524 to 776 of the family's 1533-position model. Lineage: Bacteria; Pseudomonadati; Pseudomonadota; Alphaproteobacteria. The record is from RNAcentral.
UACGGAGGGGGCUAGCGUUGUUCGGAAUUACUGGGCGUAAAGCGCGCGUAGGCGGCUUGGUAAGUUGGAGGUGAAAGCCCGAAGCUCAACUUCGGAAUUGCCUUCAAAACUACCAGGCUAGAGGCAGAGAGAGGAGAGCGGAAUAUCCAGUGUAGAGGUGAAAUUCGUAGAUAUUGGAUGGAACACCGGUGGCGAAGGCGGCUCUCUGGCUCUGUUCUGACGCUGAGGUGCGAAAGCGUGGGGAGCAAACAGG